Molecule: long non-coding RNA, 597 nt
Filed under: Setaria italica (foxtail millet)
Lineage: Eukaryota; Viridiplantae; Streptophyta; Magnoliopsida; Poales; Poaceae
Description: long non-coding RNA (SITA_LNC005504)
Source: RNAcentral
CUUGCCUCAGAGGAUUGAUCCAGAGAGCUUCUUGCUAGCACUGCAGAUGGCAGCUGAGGCAGCUAGCCCAUACUUCAGGCUUGGUUACAAUAGUUUGGGUGCCUUUGCUACCAUCAAUCACCUCCACUUCCAGGUAUUGAACUAUGCAUGGUAUCUGAAUUUACUUAUCACCACAAAAUGGGAACCAAAUAGGAGUAUCCAGUACUGUGCAGAUAGAAGUAUUGUUUUAAUGUCAUGUCCACUUGUACUCUUCUGAUAAAAUCAUCAAACACCCGCAGUUUUGAGAUGGUGGUUGUCACUGUCAUAGUGAAAGUGAACUUUGUGCCUUUGGAGAGCAAGAAAACUGCCAUAUGCAUUUUGAUCUGAAUAAUUUGCACAGAAACUGGCCUAUCGAGCAGUUGGUAACUUGUUUGAAAAAAAUUUGUUUAGUACUGAACCUUUUGUUCACAGGCAUACUACUUGUCAGUGCCUUUCCCUGUCGAGAAGGCAGCUACCCACAAGAUCCCUCUUUCCGAGGACACAAUGAAGAGUGGGGUGACUGUGUCCAAGCUGAUAAAUUAUCCUGUGAGAGGCCUGGUAUUUGAGGGAGGGAACACA